RNAcentral lists this long non-coding RNA (432 nucleotides) under Nicotiana benthamiana. Its description in RNAcentral is "long non-coding RNA (NBEN_LNC041019)". The record is from RNAcentral. Lineage: Eukaryota; Viridiplantae; Streptophyta; Magnoliopsida; Solanales; Solanaceae.
UUAGAUGCUUGCUUUUAGAUGCUAAACUUCCAAAUACAUUUUGGGCGGAAGCACUUAACACUGUCGCCUAUGUUAUCAUGUCUCCUGCUGCUGCUUUGGAUGGUGAUGUCCCUGAUAGAAUUUGGUUUAUCAAAGAUGUUUCUUAUGAUCACCUAAGAGUUUUUGGGUGUAUAGCUGGUGUGCAUGUUCCUAAAGACGAAAGAUCGAAACUGGAUGUCAAAACUAAGCAGUGCAUCUUUAUCGGUUAUGGUCAAGAUGAGUUUGAGUAUCAUUUUUCUGAUCCAGUUGACAAUAAACUUAUUAGAAGUCGUGAUGCACUAUUCCUUGAAGACCAAACUAUUGAAGAUAUUGACAAAGCUGAGAAGAUAGAUUCUCAAAGUAAUGAGAGCUUAGUUGAUGAUCUAGUUGGCAAUGAACUUAUCAGAAAUUGUG